This is a small nucleolar RNA of Ornithorhynchus anatinus (platypus), 138 nucleotides long. The record is from RefSeq and is a predicted model, not a curated record. Lineage: Eukaryota; Metazoa; Chordata; Mammalia; Monotremata; Ornithorhynchidae.
UCCCUCUCAGGAUCGCAUCUGGAGAGAUUCCAGUUCUCUACCUGUCUCGACUAUGGGAGGGAGAGUCAAGCAGAGGCAUAUUCAUUCCAUUCCUAGCUUGGGCAGUAGCUACUGAGUGGAAGGCAAUCUGCUACAAGU